UCUUCGCUUUAACAUGGGGGUACCUGCUACAUAAUUAAAAAGUAAGUGCUUCCAUGUUUCAGUGGAGA
Molecule: non-coding RNA, 68 nt
Organism: Sarcophilus harrisii (Tasmanian devil)
Lineage: Eukaryota; Metazoa; Chordata; Mammalia; Dasyuromorphia; Dasyuridae
Source: Rfam